UGCUAAUUGCGUAAGCGAAGCACUCUGAUGGGACUGCCCGGGAAACCGGGAGGAAGGUGGGGACGACGUCAAGUCAUCAUGGUCCUUAUGUCUAGGGCUACACACGUGUUACAAUGGUCGGUACAAAGGGUUGCAAGCUCGCGAGAGUAAGCUAAUCCCGGAAAGCCGAUCUAAGUUCGGAUUGAGGUCUGCAACUCGACCUCAUGAAGUUGAAAUCGCUAGUAAUCGCGUAUCAGCAACGACGCGGUGAAUACGUUCUCGGGCCUUGUACACACCGCCCGUCACACCAUGAGAGCUGUUUGUACCCGGAGCUGUCUUAGCCAACCCGCAAGGGAGGCGGGCAUCUAAGGUAUGAGGAGUGAUUGGGGUG
This 370-nucleotide ribosomal RNA is filed under the name uncultured bacterium. Its description in RNAcentral is "bacterial SSU rRNA". It matches the Rfam family "Bacterial small subunit ribosomal RNA", at positions 1116 to 1482 of the family's 1533-position model. The record is from RNAcentral.